AUUUUGAACAAAUCUCUCUAGGGAUUGAACAGAGCUGCGCCUGGAUCCUGCCACAGUGAGGAGACCUGAAGACCAGAGGAAGCACAGCAA
This 90-nucleotide non-coding RNA is filed under the name Pongo abelii (Sumatran orangutan). Lineage: Eukaryota; Metazoa; Chordata; Mammalia; Primates; Hominidae. The record is from RNAcentral.